UACGUAGGGCGCAAGCGUUAUCCGGAAUUAUUGGGCGUAAAGAGCUCGUAGGCGGUUUGUCGCGUCUGCCGUGAAAGUCCGGGGCUCAACUCCGGAUCUGCGGUGGGUACGGGCAGACUAGAGUGAUGUAGGGGAGACUGGAAUUCCUGGUGUAGCGGUGAAAUGCGCAGAUAUCAGGAGGAACACAGGUGGCGAAGGCGCCACUCUGGGCCGAAACUGACGCUGAGGAGCGAAAGCGUGGGUAGCAAACAGG
RNAcentral lists this ribosomal RNA (253 nucleotides) under uncultured bacterium. RNAcentral describes it as "partial 16S ribosomal RNA". It matches the Rfam family "Bacterial small subunit ribosomal RNA", at positions 524 to 776 of the family's 1533-position model. The record is from RNAcentral.